RNAcentral lists this non-coding RNA (160 nucleotides) under Candidatus Omnitrophota bacterium. Its description in RNAcentral is "6S RNA". It matches the Rfam family "6S / SsrS RNA". From Rfam's summary of the family: E. coli 6S RNA was the first non coding RNA to be sequenced, but its function was unknown until recently. It consists of 184 nucleotides that fold into an extended hairpin structure with a large single-stranded internal bulge. Lineage: Bacteria; Pseudomonadati; Candidatus Omnitrophota. The record is from RNAcentral.
UAAUCCCUGCGGUGCACGUUGGAGUGUACGAAAGUUCGUGAACCAACAUUAUGUUAAAGGGAGCUUAACUUCUUUAACACUUCGGUGUCAAAGAGAGAGCACCCACCUGUAACCAAAACGGUUCAACACAGCGUAUCCAACGGCACAGCGCGGGGAUUUU